RNAcentral lists this ribosomal RNA (263 nucleotides) under Salmonella enterica. RNAcentral's name for it is "partial 16S ribosomal RNA". It matches the Rfam family "Bacterial small subunit ribosomal RNA", at positions 1 to 260 of the family's 1533-position model. RNAcentral also lists the same sequence under 2 other names. Lineage: Bacteria; Pseudomonadati; Pseudomonadota; Gammaproteobacteria; Enterobacterales; Enterobacteriaceae. The record is from RNAcentral.
AAAUUGAAGAGUUUGAUCAUGGCUCAGAUUGAACGCUGGCGGCAGGCCUAACACAUGCAAGUCGGACGGUAACAGGAAGCAGCUUGCUGCUUUGCUGACGAGUGGCGGACGGGUGAGUAAUGUCUGGGAAACUGCCUGAUGGAGGGGGAUAACUACUGGAAACGGUGGCUAAUACCGCAUAACGUCGCAAGACCAAAGAGGGGGACCUUCGGGCCUCUUGCCAUCAGAUGUGCCCAGAUGGGAUUAGCUGGUUGGUGAGGUAA